UUCCAAAGCGGGCUCUAUGAUGACAACAGCGAGCCUGACACGGGGCUCGAACUCACCAGCCGUGAGAUCACGACCUGAGCCGAAGUUGGACGCUUAACCGACUGAGCCACCCAGGCGCCCCUCCGAUUUUGUAAUGCUGUUGUGUGGACCGGUGUGUUACUAGAGACCUUGCCCUCCUUUUCGGAAAGAGCAGAGUAUUCUCCAAUGACCCCCAGAUACCAGGGAACCAAACCUUCUUGCACAACCCGCCCAAACUCCAGGCACCAAGGAACUCGAACUUCUUGCACAACUUCCAAGCUCCGAGAUAACUCUGUAGCUGGCAUCAUCGAGUCCGCAUGUAAUCAAGAAAUGUCACAGACAGCUGCACUCCCUUAACCCCUUUAAAAAUCUCUGGGCCAGGCGGAAACCUGGGAGUUGGCCUUUGGACAAGAGUCUGCCUUCUCCCCAGGUGGCCAGCCUCCCGAAUAAAGCUCAUAUUCCUUUCCAAUAAAAGCUCAUCUCUUGAUGGGCAGCCGAACUUGGGUUUCAGGAA
Neofelis nebulosa (Clouded leopard) is the source of this 532-nucleotide long non-coding RNA. RefSeq lists it as uncharacterized. The transcript has 2 exons. The record is from RefSeq and is a predicted model, not a curated record. Lineage: Eukaryota; Metazoa; Chordata; Mammalia; Carnivora; Felidae.